Ruditapes philippinarum (Manila clam) is the source of this 2289-nucleotide long non-coding RNA. RefSeq lists it as uncharacterized. The transcript has 3 exons. The record is from RefSeq and is a predicted model, not a curated record. NCBI's taxonomy places the organism in Eukaryota, Metazoa, Mollusca, Bivalvia, Venerida, Veneridae.
GUAUUUUUACACAUAAGAAGCUAUACUAAGAAAUAAGGGAAUACAAUUUUCAAUUAUAUUUUAUGUUAAUUUUAUUUGUCAUUUUAAACGUAGAUAAUGUCAAAAUCAAACUUGAACAAAGAAGUGAGCAUCUGUUUUUCAUUUAUUAACAGCAGACCAGCAUAUAAAUAAAAAAUAUUUUUCCUUUCGCGUGAAUAGUUGCAUUUAUCAUUAGUUGACAUAAAUAUCAUAAAAUUAUUUCAAUAUGAAGAAAAUAUGCUUGUAUGUAUUGUUUUCAUACUUCCACGAAAUGAAUUAAAUUUGAUGAUAAUGCACUUAUCUUUAUAUUCAAGAAAAGAUUGGAUAUAUCGAAGUAAUGCAUACAGUGAAUGACAAUAUGUAUAGAUAUGUUCUAAAUUUUCAUAACAUUAAGAUCAAAUUAUAUCAAGAAAUAAUAUUAAAGGUUACCAACGAUAUUGAAAUUUGUGAAACUUCGUUAGUGUGAAAUCAAAAAUUGAACAAUUUAGCAAAAUAUAAAUAUUUGGCAAAGUUACAAAAUAACAAGUUAUUUUACUUGAUUAAUAUGUUAUACAAUUUAGUAUUUUCUUCGUACUGAUAUUUUGUUCCCAUUGAUAUUGAAUAUGUUAUGAAAAUUGAAAGUUGUUAGAUUUUCAAUAAUUUCAUUUUACUAUUUUAGUUUCAACUACGUUUGUCAUGUAUUGAAUAUAUUACAGACACUGACAAAUCAUCACCAGAAGGGGUACACGCGCUCACAUUUAUAGUGGCUGUGGUCGUCUGUUUUGUUAUGAUUGCUGUUGUAAUUGCUACAAAAUACAUACUGCUUAGAAGAAAGAAAUGUCAUAAUGUACAGGCAGGAUCGACAGGUACAAGACCUUCAACGGAAAUGACAAACAAUCCACCUACAUCGACAACAAGACAAGAUCCGAUGUACAUCAAUGUCGCUGAAUCUAGCCUCAAUGAUCUACCAUCAGAUCACGUUUAUGAACCAUUAAGAAAAUAACAAAUACGCGUAAAACAUUCAUAAUUCACGGUCGUUUUUUUUUUUUAAAGAAAAUGCACAUUUUUCUACAAAACUAGAAGUGAACUUUAAAAAGCAAAUAUAGUGUUUUUACAGCUUUAGUUUGUGUUAAUGUACGAACUAGGUUAUCUAAACAAUUUUAUAGAAUAUGUGAAUUACAAUUCGUUCUGCUUGUGUUAUAAUUUGAAUUUUAUUAUAGUUGUUAUCCAUUAUUUAUCGCAUGGUUUCGAACGUUUUCUUUGUUCUUACUAACCCAUUAUACUCAGUACACUUUCAAUGAGCAUUUAUAUAGCAGUUGAUUUUUUUUUUUGCACCUUGCAUAUAUCAGUGUAGUUUUUUCACAGAGGUUCCAAUCCAAUGGGGCUGGGGUAACGAACAUUCCCAGUAGCAAAAGAAAGAAAAAGAGAAACAAUGUAUAUAUUUUUAUUUUUUUAUUUCGCUGAUUUCUGUUACAAAACAAAAAACAAUAAAACAACAACAACAAAAAGAAAACAUUAUGCCAUUGCGAUAAAACAAUUAUAGUAUAUGGAAAUCGUUAGUUACGAGGAUAUAACACUGGCUGGGUAACAUCUCGGGAUGUUUCUGCAAGAAAAAUGUCUCGGCCUGACGGCCUCGCCAUUUUUUUUAGCAGAAACAUCCCUUGAUGUCGCCCCAGACAGUGUUAUAUCCUCGAAACUGCCUCGUUUCAUAUACUAUAACUAUUACAUUUUGUUUAUAAUUCAUUUGAUGUAUAGAAUGCAUAUUUUUUCAUUUAUUUAUUUCUGUUGCUACAUUGAUUAGUUCUUAGGAAAAACUGCAUGUAUAUAGAGUUUAUCUUACAGUACAUGGAGCUUGUUACUCAGUUGAUAGAUCGAUGGGUGGGUGAGUGAGUGAGUUGGUGAGUGAGUGAGUGAGUGAGUGAGUGAGUGAGUGAGUGAGUGAGUGAGUGAGUGAGUGAGUGAGUGAGUGAGUCGGUCGGCAGGUAGAUACAAUUGAGUUAAUGCCGUCUCUCAGUUCUCUCUGGGAUUUUUUCUCCGUCAAUUAUAUACAAAUGUAUAAGUGUAUUGAUUUUAUUAAAGUGUUCAUGUUCCAAAUAUUUUAUAAUGUUUUUUUUUGUUUUGUUUUUUGGUAUGGUGAAUUGAUAUCAUGAUAUUUUUUUUCUAUAGAAGGUUGAUUUAUGUAUGAAAUUAUGUUGGAUUGCCACUGAAGAAAAUUGAAAAUUGGAAAAUAGGAUAUGUACGAUGUCCUUUUUCGUCCAAAGAAUUUCGCUAGUAAACAGGCGAUAAUCAUCC